Molecule: ribosomal RNA, 488 nt
Filed under: uncultured Entrophospora
Lineage: Eukaryota; Fungi; Glomeromycota; Glomeromycetes; Entrophosporales; Entrophosporaceae
Description: SSU rRNA
Rfam family: Eukaryotic small subunit ribosomal RNA
Source: RNAcentral
AGCAGCCGCGGUAAUUCCAGCUCCAAUAGCGUAUAUUAAAGUUGUUGCAGUUAAAAAGCUCGUAGUUGAAUUUCGGGAUUGGCGCAUCGGUCGUGCCUCACGGGGUAUGAACUGGUGCAGUCAAUUUCUCACCUUCUGGAGAACCGCGAUGUCCUUAAUUGGAUGCCGCGGGGAACCAGGACCUUUACUUUGAAAAAUUAGAGUGUUUAAAGCAGGCAUUUUUGCUUGAAUACAUUAGCAUGGAAUAAUAAAAUAGGACGGCAUGGUUCUAUUUUGUUGGUUUCUAGGACCACCGUAAUGAUUAAUAGGGAUAGUUGGGGGCAUUAGUAUUCAAUUGUCAGAGGUGAAAUUCUUGGAUUUAUUGAAGACUAACUACUGCGAAAGCAUUUGCCAAGGAUGUUUUCAUUAAUCAAGAACGAAAGUUAGGGGAUCGAAGACGAUCAGAUACCGUCGUAGUCUUAACCAUAAACUAUGCCGACUAGGAAUCA